This 955-nucleotide long non-coding RNA is filed under the name Coturnix japonica (Japanese quail). Its description in RNAcentral is "lncRNA (ENSCJPG00005005021.1)". Lineage: Eukaryota; Metazoa; Chordata; Aves; Galliformes; Phasianidae. The record is from RNAcentral.
CCCCUAUUUUCAGCCCUUGCAUUGCGCCCUAUUUUCAGCCCCUGAUCUGCGCCCUAUUUUCAGCCCCAGACCAUUGCGCCCCAUUUCAGGACAUUGCGCUGCGCCCCAAUUUUGGGGGCUCUGGAUUUGCCCCCCCCCCCAUUUUCAGACACGGAUUUACCCCCCCCCCUUUAUUUGCCCCCUAUUUUCAGACACUGCGCUGCCCCCAACUGGGGGCAUCAGAUUUGCCCCCAAUUUUCAGACGUGGAUUUGCCCCCUAUUUUCAGACGCAGAGCUGCCCCCCAUUUUGAAAUGAAGCUCUGUGCUCAUUUGGGGGUCACAGCGCUGCCCCCCAUUUUCAGACGUGGAUUUGCCCCCUAUUUUCAAACACAAUUUGCCCAUUUUCAGACUCUGAUAUUUGCCCCCUAUUUUCAAACACAAUUUGCCCCCUAUUUUCAAACACAAUUUGCCCCCUAUUUUCAAACCCAACUUGCCCAUUUUCAAAUACAAUUUGCCCCCUAUUUUCAAACAAAAUUUGCCCCCUAUUUUCACUCUGCUAUUUGCCCCCUAUUUUCAGACUCCGAUAUUCGCCCCCUAUUUUCAGACACCGAUAUUUGCCCCCUAUUUUCUAACACAAUUUGCCCCCUAUUUUCAGACACAGAUUUGCCCCUAUUUUCAGACUCCGAUAUUCGCCCCCUAUUUUCAAACACAAUUUGCCCCCCAUUUUCAGACUCUGAUAUUUGCCCCCUGUUUUCAGACCUAAUUUGCCCCCCAUUUUCAAACACAAUUUGCCCCCUAUUUUCAGACUCUGAUAUUUGCCCCCUAUUUUCAAACACAAUUUGCCCCCUAUUUUCAGACGCAGUUUGCCCAUUUUCAUACUCUGAUAUUUGCCCCCUAUUUUCAAACCCAAAUUGCCCAUUUUCAAACCCAAUUUGCCCCCUAUUUUCAAACACAAUUUGCCCCUAUUUUCAAACCC